RNAcentral lists this ribosomal RNA (253 nucleotides) under uncultured bacterium. RNAcentral describes it as "partial 16S ribosomal RNA". It matches the Rfam family "Bacterial small subunit ribosomal RNA", at positions 524 to 776 of the family's 1533-position model. The record is from RNAcentral.
UACGUAGGGUCCGAGCGUUGUCCGGAAUUACUGGGCGUAAAGGGCUUGUAGGUGGCCAACUAAGUCAGACGUGAAAUCCCUCGGCUUAACCGGGGAACUGCGUCUGAUACUGGAUGGCUUGAGUGUGGGAGAGGGAUGCGGAAUUCCAGGUGUAGCGGUGAAAUGCGUAGAUAUCUGGAGGAACACCGGUGGCGAAGGCGGCAUCCUGGACCAUUACUGACACUGAAAAGCGAAAGCCAGGGGAGCAAACGGG